Molecule: ribosomal RNA, 482 nt
Filed under: uncultured bacterium
Lineage: Bacteria
Description: bacterial SSU rRNA
Rfam family: Bacterial small subunit ribosomal RNA
Source: RNAcentral
GACGAACGCUGGCGGCGUGCUUAACACAUGCAAGUCGAGCGGUAAGGCCCUUUCGGGGGUACACGAGCGGCGAACGGGUGAGUAACACGUGGGUGACCUGCCUUCGAGUGGGGGAUAACGUCCCGAAAGGGACGCUAAUACCGCAUGACAUCCUGCCCUUGGAAGGGCGGAGAUCAAAGCCGGGGAUCGCAAGACCUGGCGCUUGAAGAGGGGCCCGCGCCUGAUUAGCUAGUUGGUAGGGUAACGGCUACCAAGGCCACGAUCAGUAUCCGGCCUGAGAGGGCGGACGGACACACUGGGACUGAGACACGGCCCAGACUCCUACGGGAGGCAGGCAGUGGGGAAUUGUUCGCAAUGGGCGCAAGCCUGACGACGCAACGCCGCGUGGAGGACGAAGAUCUUCGGGUCGUAAACUCCUGUCGAGUGGGAAGAAUGGAUCGGGGAUGAAUAAUCUCCGGUAUUGACGGUACCACUAAAGGAAG